RNAcentral lists this ribosomal RNA (446 nucleotides) under uncultured bacterium. RNAcentral describes it as "bacterial SSU rRNA". It matches the Rfam family "Bacterial small subunit ribosomal RNA", at positions 329 to 792 of the family's 1533-position model. The record is from RNAcentral.
UUCCAGACUCCUACGGGAGGCAGCAGUGGGGAAUAUUGCACAGUGGGGGAAACCCUGAUGCAGCGACGCCGCGUGAGCGAAGAAGUAUUUCGGUAUGUAAACUUCUAUCAGCAGGGAAGAAAAUGACGGUACCUGACUAAGAAGCCCCGGCUAACUACGUGCCAGCAGCCGCGGUAAUACGUAGGGGGCAAGCGUUAUCCGGAUUUACUGGGUGUAAAGGGAGCGUAGACGGCAUGGCAAGUCUGGUGUGAAAGGCAGGGGCUCAACCCCUGGACUGCAUUGGAAACUGUCAGGCUGGAGUGCAGGAGAGGUAAGUGGAAUUCCUAGUGUAGCGGUGAAAUGCGUAGAUAUUAGGAGGAACACCAGUGGCGAAGGCGACUUACUGGACUGUAACUGACGUUGAGGCUCGAAAGCGUGGGGAGCAAACAGGAUUAGAUACCCGCGUA